RNAcentral lists this ribosomal RNA (500 nucleotides) under uncultured bacterium. RNAcentral's name for it is "partial 16S ribosomal RNA". It matches the Rfam family "Bacterial small subunit ribosomal RNA", at positions 30 to 523 of the family's 1533-position model. The record is from RNAcentral.
AUUGAACGCUGGCGGCAUGCCUUACACAUGCAAGUCGAACGGCAGCACGGGAGCAAUCCUGGUGGCGAGUGGCGAACGGGUGAGUAAAGUAUCGGAACGUGCCCAGUCGUGGGGGAUAACGUAGCGAAAGUUACGCUAAUACCGCAUACGAUCUAUGGAUGAAAGCGGGGGAUCGCAAGACCUCGCGCGAUUGGAGCGGCCGAUAUCAGAUUAGGUAGUUGGUGGGGUAAAGGCUCACCAAGCAGACGAUCUGUAGCUGGUCUGAGAGGACGACCAGCCACACUGGGACUGAGACACGGCCCAGAAUCCUACGGGAGGCAGCAGUGGGGAAUUUUGGACAAUGGGCGAAAGCCUGAUCCAGCCAUGCCGCGUGCAGGAUGAAGGCCUUCGGGUUGUAAACUGCUUUUGUACGGAACGAAAAGGUUUGGCCUAAUAAGCUGAGCUCAUGACGGUACCGUAAGAAUAAGCACCGGCUAACUACGUGCCAGCCGCCGCAGUAA